RNAcentral lists this ribosomal RNA (495 nucleotides) under uncultured bacterium. RNAcentral describes it as "bacterial SSU rRNA". It matches the Rfam family "Bacterial small subunit ribosomal RNA", at positions 19 to 518 of the family's 1533-position model. The record is from RNAcentral.
CUGGCUCAGGAUGAACGCUGGCGGCGUGCUAACACAUGCAAGUCGAACGGGAACUCUGAACUGAAGGUUCGCUGGAUGUUUAGAAAUUCUAGUGGCGGACGGGUGAGUAACGCGUGGGUAACCUGCCUAUAAGACGUGAACAACAGUUAGAAAUGACUGCUAAUACACGAUAAGCACACAGUAUUGCAUGAUACAGUGUGAAAAGAAUUUCGCUUAUAGAUGGACCCGCGUUUGAUUAGCCAGUUGGUGGGGUAACGGCCUACCAAAGCAACGAUCAAUAGCCGGCCUGAGAGGGCGAUCGGCCACAUUGGGACUGAGACACGGCCCAAACUCCUACGGGAGGCAGCAGUGGGGAAUAUUGGACAAUGGGGGCAACCCUGAUCCAGCCAACGCCGCGUGAGUGAUGAAGUAUCUUGGUAUGUAAAGCUCUAUCAGUAGGUAUGAAACAAGACAGCCUAACUAAGAAGCCCCGGCUAACUACGUGCCAGCAGCGGC